Molecule: ribosomal RNA, 327 nt
Filed under: uncultured bacterium
Lineage: Bacteria
Description: bacterial SSU rRNA
Rfam family: Bacterial small subunit ribosomal RNA
Source: RNAcentral
AAUCAACGCUGGCGGCGUGCCUCAGACAUGCAAGUCGAACGCGAAAGUUUCCUUCGGGGAACAAGUAGAGUGGCGCACGGGUGAGUAACACGUAGGUAAUCUACCUUUGGAUGGGGAAUAACAACCGGAAACGGUUGCUAAUACCGCAUAAUGCAGCGGCACCUAAUGGUGACAGUUGUUAAAGCGGGGGAUCGAAAGACCUCGCGUCUGAAGAGGAGCCUGCGGCGGAUUAGCAGUUGGUAAGGUAAUGGCUUACCAAGGCUACGAUCCGUAACCGGCCUGAGAGGGCGGUCGGUCACACUGACACUGACAUACGGGUCAGACUCC